UAGCAGAGUAUAUGAAAUGUAAAUUUUCCU
This 30-nucleotide non-coding RNA is filed under the name Mus musculus (house mouse). The record is from RNAcentral. Lineage: Eukaryota; Metazoa; Chordata; Mammalia; Rodentia; Muridae.